This 517-nucleotide ribosomal RNA is filed under the name uncultured bacterium. RNAcentral describes it as "bacterial SSU rRNA". It matches the Rfam family "Bacterial small subunit ribosomal RNA", at positions 772 to 1286 of the family's 1533-position model. The record is from RNAcentral.
ACUCAAUAGAUACCCGGGUAGUCCCAGCAGUAAACGGUGCGCGUUUGGUGUGAGCAGAUUCGACUCUGUUCGCGCCGGAGCUAACGCGUUAAACGCGCCGCCUGGGAAGUACGAUCGCAAGAUUAAAACUCAAAGAAAUUGACGGGGGCCCGCACAAGCGGUGGAGUAUGUGGCUUAAUUCGAUGCAACGCGAAGAACCUUACCUGGGUUUGACAUGCAUCUCUAAGGAGGUGAAAGCUUCCGAGGGUAGCAAUACCCGAUUUGCACAGGUGCUGCAUGGCUGUCGUCAGCUCGUGUCGUGAGAUGUUGGGUUUAAGUCCCGCAACGAGCGCAACCCUUGUAUGCUGUUGCUAUGCUUACGCAUAGCUCUCUGCGUAGACUGCCCCGUGAAACGGGGAGGAAGGUGGGGAUGACGUCAAGUCAGCAUGGCCCUUACACCCAGGGCUGCACACGUACUACAAUGCUCAGUACAAUUAGAACCUGCCCCGCGAGGGUUGGGAAAUCAGCGAAAACUGAG